CCUUCAUCUCAUGAGCUUAAGAUCUGCUUAGGCAAUGAGGAGAGCAACUUGCGACACAGCUGCAAUUAAAAUCAAGAAUGAAAGAAUAAUGCCCUUGCCAGGUCUGUCCGGGAAGAAGAGGAAUAAGUUAAAAUUAAACCUUAGUUGAUCCGGAUCUGAAAUAGAUUUAAACCAGCUCCGCAAAGCCAGGGCAGGUUUUUAAAUCAAAACCUGGGCUUCGGGUUCCUUUUGUUAGCAAAAUGCCCUUACUUGAUGGAACACCAAAACCUCAUUAAAUUGCAAACACUGGACUAUACAAGAUGGAGAAUGAGCAAUUCCACUUAAAGGCUGCAGCUCUCCACACGUUGCCCCAGAAGGACAAUGAGUUCUAAAGGUCAGGGUUACACAUGGCGUGGGCAGAAGAAACAUAUAUGAAGCCACAAUGUACCAGUUCAUCUCAAUUAUGGUUUGAAGGCCUUUUUGAGAGGAGAGACAAAUCUUUUGUUUCUAUCAUCCUCCAGCAUUAUCUUGGCACUAGUCGUUGAUCCAAAUAAGAAACUUCUUUCCUUAAGUUUCCUCACAAACAACAUCAUCCUUUUUUUUUUUUUUUGAGGAAGAUUAGCCCUGAGCUAACAUCUGCUGCCAAUCCUCCUCUUUUUGCUGAGGAAGACUGGCCCUGAGCUAACAUCCGUGCCCAUCUUCCUCCACUUUAUAUGUGGUACACCUACCACAGCAUGGCUUGCCAAGCGGUGCCAUGUCUGCAACCAGGAUCUGAACCGGUGAAACCCGGGCUGCUGAAGCAGAACGUGUGAACUUAACCACUGUGUCACUGGGCUGCUCCAACAUCAUUCUAUUUUUUAACAGGAUGUCUAAAGGCUCUGAAAAUCAGAUCCAGAGAGAUCAUUUAAUCUCUAUUUAAUCAAAAUAAUCUCAAUAGUCAAUCUAGUCUGACCUGAAACUUUGUAAUUUUAGUCCAUUCUUGUUUAAAUGAUCAACUUACAAAAACAAAUUAACCAGGAGAUCCUCUUCAAUUUGCAAAAAAUCUUUAAGGAGCAAUCAAAUGCAGCCCACAGAGGCUUUCCAGCCACCAUGUCUCUCUAACUAGAGUAACUAGUUAAGUUUCCAGUUUCCUAGAAACAGCUCAUAGUCUUUCUACAAUCUUAGCUUCUCAUCUGGAAGUGACUUGGUUUGGAUAAUAAAUUAUAUGGUCAUCAUAUUUAUAAGGUUUAGGUCCUUGGCAGUUUGCAUAUUAGUAGUUUACCCCUCUAGUGACCCUCAGGUGGUCCAUAAGCCAAGUCUACCUCUCAUGUCAGGCUCUAAUGGUGCACUGAGGAAAACAGGCACAUGGUGGGACAAUGGGCAGACCAGACAUAUUGGAACAUGCAAGCGUCUAGAUGCAGGAUUCUACAAAAAGGGGUGUCAGAGUGACAAAGAGUCUGCCAUGGAGCAUGUGAGGUCAGAGGAAGGAAGUGCAUGUGAUUCAAACAUAAAUAUAUUGAAUCAUGAUAGACAGAAGUUCUCUGGACAGAGAACAGUUAUGUGCAGACAGAAAACAGGUGGACAUGUACAGCUCACCAUGAGACAAACUGCAGUGGCAACUCAAGAGGGGAGCAUGUGAAUUUCCUGACUGUUCUUUGAGAAGAAUUGCACUGUUUGAAAAUCUUUUCUGCCUUUAGUCUAUGGAUCCUGAAAGCAGUAGAGGCAGUGGUGAUUGGGGUGAUUUGGAACUUUGUAUAUUAUGUCUUUGUUAUUGAUUUCAAAUUUUUUUUUCUGGGUUUUUUUUUUACUCCCCAGAUCCCCCUAGUAGAUAGUCGUAUAUUUUAGUUGUGGGUCCUUCUAGUUGUGGCAUGUGGGACGCUGCCUCACUGUGGCCUGAUGAGCAGUGCCAUGUCUGUGCCCAGGAUGCAAACCGGUGAAACCCUGGGCCACCAUAGCGGAGUGCGUGAACUUAAUCACUCGGCCACGGGGCUGGCCCCCCAAUUUUUUGCUAUUGGUCUAUAUGAUAUUAAUUAUUUGGGUUUUUAGAACUUUUUUCUUGUAGAUCAGUACGUGAUUAAUCUAUGUAAAUGUUGAAUAUGUGCUUGAAAAGAAGGUAUAUUCUUUAUAAUGUGAAAAUAACUCUAUAUAUCUAAUAAUAUAAUCAUUUAAAUUAUAUUAUUUGUAUCUUCUGUACAUUGGCCUACUUUUUGGCUUUUUGAUCUAUCAGCUUUUGAGGGAAGUCUAUUAAAAUCUCCCAAAUCUUCCAUCACAAUUGCCAAUUUAUCUACUUGCCUCUGUAGGUCUAUUAGUUGUUGCAUUAUAUAGUUUGAGACUAUGCUAUUAGGUCCAUAUAGGUUCAUGAUUGUUAGCUCUUAUUACUCUACUCUUUGUUUUAUGAGAAUAUAAUAUUUCUUCUUGUUACCUAUUAAAUUUUUGUCUUUAAUUAUAUUUUGAGAGAUUUUAUGAAUUCUAGAUUUCUUUGAUUUCUUUUGGUUUUGUCUGUUU
RNAcentral lists this long non-coding RNA (2463 nucleotides) under Equus caballus (horse). RNAcentral's name for it is "lncRNA (ENSECAG00000043230.2)". The record is from RNAcentral. Lineage: Eukaryota; Metazoa; Chordata; Mammalia; Perissodactyla; Equidae.